Molecule: ribosomal RNA, 792 nt
Filed under: uncultured Lactobacillus sp.
Lineage: Bacteria; Bacillati; Bacillota; Bacilli; Lactobacillales; Lactobacillaceae
Description: bacterial SSU rRNA
Rfam family: Bacterial small subunit ribosomal RNA
Source: RNAcentral
GAUGAACGCCGGCGGUGUGCCUAAUACAUGCAAGUCGAACGCGUUGGCCCAAUUGAUUGAUGGUGCUUGCACCUGAUUGAUUUUGGUCGCCAACGAGUGGCGGACGGGUGAGUAACACGUAGGUAACCUGCCCAGAAGCGGGGGACAACAUUUGGAAACAGAUGCUAAUACCGCAUAACAGCGUUGUUCGCAUGAACAACACUUAAAAGAUGGCUUCUCGCUAUCACUUCUGGAUGGACCUGCGGUGCAUUAGCUUGUUGGUGGGGUAACGGCCUACCAAGGCGAUGAUGCAUAGCCGAGUUGAGAGACUGAUCGGCCACAAUGGGACUGAGACACGGCCCAUACUCCUACGGGAGGCAGCAGUAGGGAAUCUUCCACAAUGGGCGCAAGCCUGAUGGAGCAACACCGCGUGAGUGAAGAAGGGUUUCGGCUCGUAAAGCUCUGUUGUUAAAGAAGAACACGUAUGAGAGUAACUGUUCAUACGUUGACGGUAUUUAACCAGAAAGUCACGGCUAACUACGUGCCAGCAGCCGCGGUAAUACGUAGGUGGCAAGCGUUAUCCGGAUUUAUUGGGCGUAAAGAGAGUGCAGGCGGUUUUCUAAGUCUGAUGUGAAAGCCUUCGGCUUAACCGGAGAAGUGCAUCGGAAACUGGAUAACUUGAGUGCAGAAGAGGGUAGUGGAACUCCAUGUGUAGCGGUGGAAUGCGUAGAUAUAUGGAAGAACACCAGUGGCGAAGGCGGCUACCUGGUCUGCAACUGACGCUGAGACUCGAAAGCAUGGGUAGCGGACAGG